AAUAUACCAUAUAGAAUGGCGGAUGAUUUCCUCCAACUUAUUUUAUCACAUAAGAAAUUUAACGUAAAGUAAAAAGUUACCACCAGGGAUUGUCUGGAGUGAGGAGACAUGUGGGUGACAACUCCUGUUGGAGUAUAAAUAGGAAUCAUUCGCCAUUUGGGAGAAACCCUACCAUGAAGUCAUAGACCUUAUUUGACCACCUAGAGAAACCACUACAGCCACAGUCAAGUCAUCAUGGGAAUACGUCUUUUUGGGAACAAGCUAUGGGAGCGUUCCAGCUCAAUUUUCGUCUUGGCACCUGGGCCUACAGGAGUCAUGGGGUCGCACCAUCCUGGUGCAUCAUUUUCUAGGAUGUAACCGCAACCUCGUUUGGGAACAUUUAGUGAGGUGUUUUAGUAACUAUUGGUUUUUUUUAUAUUUCAGACUAUCUGUUAAAUACACUAUGUUUUUUUUCCAGAUUUAGGUUACCUCUGGUUUUUUUUUGACAUAUUUGUAUAUUAGAUUAUUUGGUUCCCAAACUUUGUAUCUACGGUAACUUCUUGUGCACAGGAAUAAGCCUAGAGAAAAUUAGGUUUUUAAUACUUUAUUAUUGCUUUGAUAUUGGUUUAUGUAAUUCGGGUAAAUUUAUUUUGUAAUAUUACUAGCUUGUUUCCCAAAUAUUUUACUGUUAUUCGCUUUAUUCCGUUUGUUCGGUUAAUUUAGGUCAUCGUCGGUAUUUAUCUCAACUUCAUUUCUACUUUAUUCAUUGUAUAUCUAACUUUGCUUAAUUCAUUUAGUAUUUUCCCUUAGUUAGGCUCAUGCCUAUUUACAUAUAUUUAUUUAUAUUACUUUUAAUAUUCAUCGGUUUUUCUUUAGUUGUACGUAGCAGGCGUACUAUAACCAUUUGGUAGAAGACUUAUGUAAUUUUGUACCCUAUAUGUUAGUGAAAGGUAUUUAUACCUGUAAUUUUGUAACAGGUAACAUUGUUGUUAUCUUAGGUUGAACAUAACUUUUGCAAACUUUUGUCAUGUUAGAGUCACAUAAUAUGAACUUGUUUAACUCAGAGAUUGUUAAAAAUCUGGUAGUUCAUUUUAAUAAAUGUUUAUUUAUUUUGUA
This 1095-nucleotide long non-coding RNA is filed under the name Diabrotica virgifera virgifera (western corn rootworm). RNAcentral's name for it is "uncharacterized LOC126880689". Lineage: Eukaryota; Metazoa; Arthropoda; Insecta; Coleoptera; Chrysomelidae. The record is from RNAcentral.